UUAUACAACUCAUAUCUAUGUAUAUACGCGUUACUAGCUGUUGCUAACAUUUGUUGUUGUAGAACUUUCCUUCUACCUACCAUAAUGUCAAUUGGUAAGGAGGGAAACAUGUACCUAAAUCAUGUACCUAAAUUACACAACAAAUAAAUGUAAACAAUUCUUCAUCCGAUACCUACGAUAGCAUAUACCAAAUUCUACUAUUCUAUUCGUUGGUCGUUGGUUAUAUACAUAUGCAAAUGUCGUUUUCGUGUUCAUUCGGUUCGAGUUAUCGCUACAAUCGGUGUCUUUAUCUGCGCGCGUGACAGUGUUACAAACUUCCUGAGUGAAAAAAAUAGUGAACAAGUGUGUAGAGAAUUUGUUCUAGCUUUGCGUUAACUAUCAAGCAACUUACAUACGUUUGCGAUUAAGUGACGCAAAUUGCUUACAUUUCUCAAGUGCAUUCCUUGUAGUAGUGUUCGAAGUGUAACAAUGUCGGUCAAAAGAAUGCGUCGAACCGGCCAAACCAGCAAGAUUAUCAAAGCUAAUAACGCUAAACUAGAGGCAGAAUUAUUUGGCGAGAGCAGUUCAUUCGGUGCUAACAUAAUUCCUGCAGCAACCACGUAUGAAGGUAAGAACAAGAUUGACUACAUGAAAGCAUAUUUAAUUGCAAUAUUAAUAUCCAUCUUUUGCAUUCCAGAUCCGGAACCAAUUAGCCAUCAUUCGUCAUAGCCGAUAAGCUCAUCCAAAUACGCGUUAGAGCUAUCAUCGCAGAUUCACCAGCGCGUGCGUUCAUAAAAGGUGUUGCAUACUUCAAUCAUAAACAUGGGUGCCAAAAAUGUACAGUAGAAGGAAAACAUCACAGUGCGGCACGUGUUUCCUAUUUUCUGGAUAUCGACGUAGUGGAGUAACAUUGCAUGUAAAUUAUAAUAUGCGUCUAUAUCCAUGUACUCAAGAUAAUUGGUUUUUAACUAAGGAUUUAUAUAUUGCUAAAUAUUGUAAGGCAGAAAAAAUAGGAUCAACGAUUAACAUUUAUGGGACAGCAUUUAACAAAAUAACAGAAACUCAUACAUUCUUUUGUUCGCCUAUGAUGAAAGACAUAUAUGAGGCAAAUACAAGCGACCUUACCAUUGAAUCGAUAGUUUUUUCACCAACAGAUAUCAAGUGUAAAUUAGUAGCUAUUAAAACGGACGACACGAACUAUGUAUUUGUACCUCUCAUACAGACAUUAGUUGAAUGAAUAACUGUAAUAUUUUGAAUUAUCAAUUGUUAUGUUAUAAUAAAAAGUAAUAUUGUAAUUGUUUUCGAAAAAAUAAAUAAUAAUCACAUAUAAUCUGGUGUAUAUUACAUUGUAUUUGCGGCAAUCAGUAUACUGAUGAACCUUUCAAUAUUAAAUAUUUACUUUUAUCACAUACAUAAUUGACUUAGUUGUUUACGUGAUUGUUUCAGGUUUUAGUCAGUGUUUAAUUUAUCACAGCUUGUGUUACUUUCGUAUCACAUUUUUUGUCAUAAUUUUAUAUGACAGCAGUCUUUCACGUGGCCGGAUCGAACAACGUAUCCCAUUUGGAUCGUUUUGCUAUACGCAGGACGCAGCUAUGAAUAAAGUUAAGAUAGUCAGAAUUAAAUAUAUACACUACUUAAACCUAUGUUUGGUAAAUAUGAAAAAGGCCGUUCUAAUUUAAAAAAAAAACAAAAAUUAAAACGUUAAGAGACUACAAAAGGAAAUAUAAAAACUAAAUAAAACUUAAACUAAAUAAUAACUUAAAUAUAAAUUUACAUAGUGCGUCUUGUGCGACUGAAAGUUUUUCUAAUGCCUUGCAGUGCUACUCUUUUAGGAGCAUAUGCAAGUUUUUUUUUUAUGUACAUUUCUACGAAGUUUAUACCUACUUCUACGCCCAUGUGGUUUGUGGCUACAUUUUUUAAAAAUUGCAUAGUAUGUACAUAGUUUUUGAAGGCUAUUUUUCUUCCACCCGAUCCGAGCCAGCUACACUUGGCUAAAAAUUGUUUGUCGAACAUUAUAUCCAACACUUCAUGCAGUCGGCUUUUCGCGUUUUGGCUGGAUAAUUCAGCAUCCGCACGCUGUAUGAAGGUGUAAAACAAAUUUUCAUCUGUAAGAUGCUCUUCAAACCUGUCCAGUGACUCUUCGUUGCUUAUAUAUUGUAUCGGGAUGGUUUGAGCAUUGCGUCGCACGCCUUUCAUCGGGUGUAUUGUGGCCGAAAUUUCAUUCACUAUCGCAGCCGUUUGGGCAGUUCGGGCAUCCAGUUUUAAUAAUAAACAUUGUGAACAAAAAUCGUGCCCAGGACAAGUUGUUUUUGCUUGAACUAACUCUGUGUUCUUAUUUACAUUAAUAGAUACCGUGGACGGAUGAAUGCUGCUUGCUGACGACUGCUCUUCGUGAAAUGUUGAUCCCGGUGAUGAUGAAACACACGGUUCCGGUGUCAUGCUUGGUGACGGCUGACGGAAUCCUUGAUGCACGACAGUCGUUUUUGCCGGUCGCGCAAAGUCAUGCGCGCAUGAACCAGCAGUUGAAGCAACAGACGAUUUCGGCGUCACACUUGUGGUCGCUAGUGGAACAACACGCACGGAACUAGCAGGCACAAGAAUCAUCCCACGUAUCGCUUUCGUUGAGGGCUGCGAUCCUCGCUUUUGUGCCAUCGAUCCUGCCGGACGCGUAGCGAUAUCCACGGAACCAGCAGUGAGAGCAGUAGAAGAUUCCGACGUCGCAGACGAUCCUGCCGGCCGCGGAAUGAAACGCAUGGAACCUGCAGCGGGAACAAAUGCCGGUACCGGCGUCGCACUAGUGGACGGCUGCGAUCCUCGCUUUUGUUCCACCGAUCCUGCCGGUCGCGUAGCGAUAUCCAUGGAACCAGCAUCGGGGGCAAGAAACGGUUCCGGCGUCGGUCUUGAUGACGUUCGCGGUCCAAAAACACGGACGAUCGCUCCUGUGGAGCAUAACACAGCCGAAGGCAGUUGUUGCAGUGCAAAAAGGCGCCCUUUCUUUGGUGGUUCCGACAUUAUAUUUUGGCUGAAAUAAUCAAUCGUUUUAUUAUUUUUUAUGUGAAACUGCUGAGUUGUAUUUGAAUGCUGCUUUGCGGUUUGAAAUCUCGAUGUUUAUGUUUUCAGCUGUGAAUUUCAAUAAAGGGUAACAAUCACA
Anopheles stephensi (Asian malaria mosquito) is the source of this 3130-nucleotide long non-coding RNA. RefSeq lists it as uncharacterized. The record is from RefSeq and is a predicted model, not a curated record. The transcript is spliced from 3 exons. Lineage: Eukaryota; Metazoa; Arthropoda; Insecta; Diptera; Culicidae.